GGAGCUACACAGAGAGCUACAGGAAUCAAGUCUGCCCUGAGAUAUCUGUCUUCUUCAGCAGGUGCACCUUCCUGUUGUCUUUGGAUAUUUGUCUCCAGUUUCUUCGACCUUUCAGCAGAGUCACACUAGGGACUCUCAAGUCACCUUUGAGGCCUUCAACUUUAGACUACUGCUGUGUCCUUGAUAACCUCAUGUUCUGCAGUUUCCAUCUUCUUCAGCUCAGCAGCUACUGGAUCCCUGACUCUCCAGCAUGCAGUCAGUCAUUGCGGACUCUCCUGCCUCUGAUCCUGUGAGCCUACUCAAUAAAUGCCCUUUCAUAAUUAAACAUAUAGUUCCUAUUGAUUCUCUUCUGCUAGAGAACCCUAGCUAACACACUGCCCUAAUGAUGUUUGCAAACAAGGAUCAAAAUGAUAUGCAAGUAACUGCCUGCUAAAACAAAGUCCAACUCUUUAGAGAAGUCAACAAAACUAAGUGCUCAAGAAUCUAGAAUUCAGUGUAUUUAUCAUUCAGUCAAAAGUUAUUAGAC
RNAcentral lists this long non-coding RNA (526 nucleotides) under Heterocephalus glaber (naked mole-rat). Its description in RNAcentral is "lncRNA (ENSHGLG00100036026.1)". Lineage: Eukaryota; Metazoa; Chordata; Mammalia; Rodentia; Bathyergidae. The record is from RNAcentral.